Molecule: ribosomal RNA, 253 nt
Filed under: uncultured bacterium
Lineage: Bacteria
Description: partial 16S ribosomal RNA
Rfam family: Bacterial small subunit ribosomal RNA
Source: RNAcentral
UACAGAGGGUGCGAGCGUUAAUCGGAAUUACUGGGCGUAAAGCGCGCGUAGGCGGCUUUGCAAGUCGGGUGUGAAAUCCCCAGGCUUAACCUGGGAACUGCAUCCGAGACUGCAUUGCUAGAGUAUGGGAGAGGGAAGUGGAAUUUCAGGUGUAGCGGUGAAAUGCGUAGAUAUCAGGAGGAACACCUAUGGCGAAGGCAGCUUGCUGGGACGACACUGACGCUGAGACGCGAAAGCGUGGGGAGCAAACAGG